UACAGAGGUCUCAAGCGUUGUUCGGAUUCAUUGGGCGUAAAGGGUGCGUAGGUGGCGCUGUAAGUCGGGUGUGAAAUUUCGGAGCUUAACUCCGAAACUGCAUUCGAUACUGCGGUGCUUGAGGACUGGAGAGGAGACUGGAAUUUAUGGUGUAGCAGUGAAAUGCGUAGAGAUCAUAAGGAAGACCAGUGGCAAAGGCGGGUCUCUGGACAGUUCCUGACACUGAGGCACGAAGGCCAGGGGAGCAAACGGG
This 253-nucleotide ribosomal RNA is filed under the name uncultured bacterium. Its description in RNAcentral is "partial 16S ribosomal RNA". It matches the Rfam family "Bacterial small subunit ribosomal RNA", at positions 524 to 776 of the family's 1533-position model. The record is from RNAcentral.